This 245-nucleotide ribosomal RNA is filed under the name uncultured Eubacteriales bacterium. RNAcentral's name for it is "uncultured Clostridiales bacterium partial 16S ribosomal RNA". It matches the Rfam family "Bacterial small subunit ribosomal RNA", at positions 524 to 768 of the family's 1533-position model. The record is from RNAcentral. Lineage: Bacteria; Bacillati; Bacillota; Clostridia; Eubacteriales.
UACGUAGGGGGCAAGCGUUAUCCGGAAUUACUGGGUGUAAAGGGUGCGUAGGCGGUAAAGUAAGUUAGGUGUGAAAGCCCGGGGCUCAACCUCGGGACUGCACUUAAAACUGCUUUACUAGAAUACAGGAGAGGUAAGUGGAAUUCCUAGUGUAGCGGUGAAAUGCGUAGAUAUUAGGAGGAACACCAGUGGCGAAGGCGACUUACUGGACUGUGAUUGACGCUGAGGCACGAAAGCGUGGGGAG